Molecule: unclassified non-coding RNA, 96 nt
Organism: Otolemur garnettii (small-eared galago)
Lineage: Eukaryota; Metazoa; Chordata; Mammalia; Primates; Galagidae
Rfam family: Y RNA
About the family: Y RNAs are components of the Ro ribonucleoprotein particle (Ro RNP), in association with Ro60 and La proteins. The Y RNAs and Ro60 and La proteins are well conserved, but the function of the Ro RNP is not known.
Source: Ensembl
GGCUGGUCCAAGUGUAGUAGUGUUUACAACUAAUUAUGAUAAGCAGUUACAGAUUCCAUUCUUCUCCAUCCCACUGCUUCACUUGACAAGCCUUUA